UACGGAGGAUGCGAGCGUUAUCCGGAUUUAUUGGGUUUAAAGGGUGCGUAGGCGGAUUGAUAAGUCAGUGGUGAAAUCCUGCAGCUUAACUGUAGCAUUGCCGUUGAUACUGUCAGUCUUGAGUAUGGUUAAGGUAGGCGGAAUGUGUAAUGUAGCGGUGAAAUGCUUAGAUAUUACACAGAACACCGAUUGCGAAGGCAGCUUACUGAACCAUAACUGACGCUGAGGCACGAAAGCGUGGGGAGCGAACAGGAUUAGAUACCCUGGUAGUCCACGCCGUAAACGAUGAUCACUCGCUGUUAGCGAUACACAGUUAGCGGCUAAGCAAAAGCAUUAAGUGAUCCACCUGGGGAGUACGGCCGCAAGGCUGAA
RNAcentral lists this ribosomal RNA (372 nucleotides) under uncultured bacterium. RNAcentral describes it as "bacterial SSU rRNA". It matches the Rfam family "Bacterial small subunit ribosomal RNA", at positions 524 to 898 of the family's 1533-position model. The record is from RNAcentral.